Molecule: ribosomal RNA, 399 nt
Filed under: uncultured bacterium
Lineage: Bacteria
Description: bacterial SSU rRNA
Rfam family: Bacterial small subunit ribosomal RNA
Source: RNAcentral
GAGUUUGAUCAUGGCUCAGGACGAACGCUGGCGGCGUGCUUAACACAUGCAAGUCGAACGGUAAGGCCCCUUCGGGGGUACACGAGUGGCGAACGGGUGAGUAACACGUGGGUAAUCUGCCCUGCACUUCGGGAUAAGCUUGGGAAACUGGGUCUAAUACCGGAUAUGAGCUCCUGCCGCAUGGGUGGGGGUUGGAAAGUUUUUCGGUGCAGGAUGAGCCCGCGGCCUAUCAGCUUGUUGGUGGGGUAAUGGCCUACCAAGGCGACGACGGGUAGCCGGCCUGAGAGGGUGAUCGGCCACACUGGGACUGAGACACGGCCCAGACUCCUACGGGAGGCAGCAGUGGGGAAUAUUGCACAAGUGGGCCGAAGCCUGAUGCAGCGACGCCGCGUGGGGAUG